CUUUUUUUUUUUUUUUUUUUUUUUUUUGUGUUUGCUGAUUCUGUUUAGUUCAGCUAAUCUUACUCGAAAGCCAAGGCACAUUGAAGAAAGAAAGAAAGAAAAUUAUACACAAAUAUUACAGCACAAAAACAUUUUAGGCAUCAAGCCAUCAUUUUAUUUAUAAAUAUUCAUUGUAAUUAGUAUAUCAAACACACAAUCACAGCCACAACAAAUUUAAUAAAGCUCUCUCACCAAGCUUAUAACAUGACAUACAUAACCUUAACAAGCUUUUAUUUCAUACUCACACCAUUCUAUCUCUUAUUAUUAUUCAACUAGCGAAAUAACUAUGCAUGUUCAUGCCUUGACAAGUGAAGCAUCCACGUCUUUUCCAGCAUGAAUCAGCCAGUGGAGGUACUUAGUUGGAGCAGGCUCAUUCUCAUUGAUAUUCUCAUACUCAAUUGUCCAUUUGGCAUAGUUGGACUGACUUUUUGGAAUAACUUGUAAGGUAGCCUUGUAGCUCUUUAAUUGUUCCAAAAUAUGUCCUCCAACUGCUUCUGCAGUGACAGUCUUGUUCUCUUCAUCCACCGUAAGCCUUUCUUUCAGAGUCUCAACUUUUCCAUCUGGGCAGUAAAAUAUUUAUCAAAUUAUGCCAUUAUUAUAGGGAUAUUCUACCAAAUUGGUGGCAGAAAAACAUUAAGUUAUGAUGCAUAUCAUCUUGAAAUUCCCAGGAAAAUCACCAUAAUAUCAAACUGUUCUACACUAACUUUUAAAAAAAAAAUAAUUCAUGCAACUCAAAUUAGUAACUAUCAAUCUUACAAAGUAGAGAGUUGGUUUUUGCUACCUAUUGCAUAAGUCCAGAGCUUGACAGAGCCCUUAGUUUUCCAGUCACCUUGAUGAACUUUAACACCAUGAACUUUGUCGGAGCAAAGAUUUGGAAGUUUGUGCGCUUUACCACCAAAGCUGUGGAAGAACUCAUCAGGAUCAGACUUAAUCUUUAUCUCAGCUUCUAACUUUCCAGCUAGAAUUGGACUAGCCAUAAUUGGUUGUAGUAAUGCUGAAAAAUCGCUAUGCACCUUUUCCUAGUAAAUGUUCUACCAACUAAACUGGCUGCACCAUGAUUUAUAGAAUCAAAUUUUCAUUUCACAGUAGCUUUUAGAUUAUUACGUAGAUUAAGUCAACAUUUUGUGCAAAACUGUUUAGCAUAGAUGGUUAAUUGAGUGAAUGCAAAACUUUUUUAUGACAAAGUAUGUUCUAUUUGCAGUAACAAACUUGAUAGUUUUAUUAGAGAGGUAAAAAAUGUCAUAGCAUUUAUUCACGUGGUAAGUAGACAAAAAAAAGAUUUUUUUUCCAAACUUUAUAAUGUUUUUGGGAUGAUUGGAAAGGGAAAUCAGAGUAUGUUGACAAAUUGUUUUUUUUUUUUUCCUUUUUUUAUAGGUACUCACGCGUAUUGUUACAAGAAUGGAAAUGAAAAAAAUUUAUUUUGGCCCUUCAAAUCAAGAAAUUGUACAUUUGUCCGCUUCAUGAAUGGUGAAGCACAUCAGAAAGUCAUGUUUUUUUGUUUAUUCAUUUUUCUUUCUUUGUUCGAUACUCAACAACACGAUGGAUACGCUCAGCAAAAGUCGCAAACGCCAAAAUCUUGAUGAAAGCAGCUCUUCAGCCAUCAUCAUGUUGAAAAUACUGCAAAACAGUAGUGAAGGGCAUUGCAUUCAUGUAUCAAUAAGGCUACUUCUAAGACAAGAGAAAAGGAUUUGAAUAUUUUCUUUUUAGCUGCACCAAUCUAAUUGUUUGCUAAUUUUGGGCAAUUGACUAGUAUGAUCAUCUCAUACAUUAUCUGUAUUUGAUAAUUGAUAUAGGUAAUUACCUGCCAAUGAAUAAAACCAAUUACACGGUUUAAAAAGGGAACCUAAUUGGUACAAAUUGAGAUAGUUACGUUGACAACUACAUUGUGGCAUUGGAGAGAGGGUUGAAUUAGAUGAUAAGUUAAGAGAGAUUGUAAGUAAGAGGUUUAGGGUUAAAGACCUCCCACUUACAAGCCAAAAAAAAGACAACUUCAAGGUGGCAUAAAGUGACUAAAUUGAAUGUUCAAUUUAAAAAGUGAGAACUAAUGCCAUAAUACAGAGUAACAACUUCAAAGUGGUGGUUGCUAAUAAUUGUCAUCAUAUAUAUGCAAUAUUUAUUGAAAACCUAGGACCAAUUGCCAUAUACAGGGAUAAAGAUCUUACUAAUCAGUUGAUCCAUCUGAUUCGAUUACAUUCUUUUUCUUUUUCUUUUGCUUUUCAGAGAAUUGGAAUUUUAUUGCUGUAAAUCUUUUUACUGCAGCAGAAAUCUAUAUGCUCCACUACAAGCAUAUAUAUUAACCCUUGAACUAGCCAGUCCAGGUUUUUUUGUUGGACUAGGCUCAUUCUGGUUCAGUUUUUCAUAGUCAAUGGUACAUUUGGCAAAGCUGGAGUCACCUCUGGAGAUAACUUGUAACGUUGCUUUAUAGUUCUUGUAGUGCUUCAUACAAUCUCCAUCUAUUGCCUCAGCAGCAUUGGUCUUGUUCUCCUCGUCAAUUUUGAGCCUCUCUUUGUAUACCUCAACUUUCCCAUCUAUAUUUGCAUCACAAAGAAAUUCAUUAGUGGCUUUUCUUAACAUUGAAUAAUGUUUUACUCUUAAUUUGUUGUUUCCUAUAUUAUCUAGCUAUUAGGCUCAAUUUGCCACAUUUUGGGAAAAACGAAUUUAACAAGAAAAUGUAAUGGAGAAAAGUAUCAAUUAUUAAAAACUAUUGAUGCUUCGUUACGCCAAACUAAACUACAAUAUAGACUCCUUAUCCUUGAUGUCUUUCUCAUUUCGUUAGGAAAAUUAGAUAAUUGACUGAGUAUGCUAACUACUUCACAAGCUAGAUCGCAUAAAAAAAAUAAAAAUUCAUAAAACUUAAAGGAGUAAAUGAACAUUAAGAUACAGUAAAGUGAUGGUUUUACCUAAGUACAACAAAUAAGAAGUAGGCGUGGCAUUAUUUUUUGUGCAAAAGGGUAAAAACUUUUAUAAUGAAAGUGUUACAAUUCAAGAGAUGAGUGGUAGUAUUGAAAGAAAGAGUGUAAGUGAGAGAUUCCGAAUUCGAAACCUCGCACUUACACUAAAAAAAUGAUAGUAAUUUUAAAAGUUUAGUAGAAGGUCCUCUUCUUCUUCUUCUUCUUUUCUUUGUGCUUAUCUGUUGCCUUUAUAAAACUCAAUAGAAAAAUCUUAUUAUUCUACCGUCUUCACAUAAGAAGCAAUAAUAUAGAGUCAAUUUCUUUGCAACCAGUGAAAGGAUAAGGAGAUAAAGUCAAUUGAGGAGGCUAAUUACGAUAAUAUGUUAAGCUCAAUAAAAAUGCCAUGAAACAUAUGAUAAGAGUUGUUGUCAAGAAAUUAUACAAAAAGAUACCGAGGGAAGCCCAAAGCCCGUGAAAGGAAUAUAAAAAAUAAAAGAUUGUGAAUAUAUCAAAUAAAAUUGCGGUCCAUGGGCACGAAAUAAGUUGAGUACAAAUUUUGGUAUGAUCGAUUCAUAAAUUUCUGCUGAAAGAUUGUCUCCUGAAUUAUUUGUGGACAUCGAUUGUGAUGGCUCGGAAAACUUAGUUUCCUCUAAUUCAACAAAUUAGUUAUAUGUUGAUUUAUUUGAUCGAUUCAUAUAUAGCUUGCUUUAUCAGUUACCUUUGAUUCAAAAGUCAGUCCACUGUUUGCAGUACUUACUUAUAAGAAUGUGGUUUAAUAAUUUUGCAGAGUAAAAUUUAGAGAGGUUUUGAGGGCUUAGUUGACGAAAAUUUAACAAAUAUAUGGAAGGCCAAGCUAAGAAUCAGGGCCUGACAGAUAUUAUUACACUAUGAGGUCUCAUUUCGAUUUACUCUACCAUUUAUUUAUUUUUUGAAUAAUUGAAAUGGAAUUCAUAUAUAUUCAUUCUUAAGAAAUUGUUCUAAUAUUGCCCCUUUCCUACCUAGUACUGUAUUAUUUUUUCUUGACAAGGCGCACAAAUAAAUAAGACAUUUUAUUUUAGUUGUCAUUGAUAGGUUGCAAUUUUAUCAUUUAUUUUAUUAUUAAUUUUCCCUAUUACCUGACUUGAUGUGAAUUAAUUAUUAGAUUCUACUCACUUUUCGUAAUUUACAUUUAUUUCAGAGAGUAGAACAAAAAUAUCACAAUCAAGGCCAAUUUGACAGUCAUCGGGAAAGAAUUCAAAUAGCAGGCAAUUAAAGGCAUUCUUGGAACAAGGAGAUGCAAGACCUUUUUGGUAAUUUUGAGCCAAGACAGCAACUAAAAAAGGGAAAAGAAAGCAAACCUGGGGAAGCGUCCAGAGGCUUCGUCCUCUCCGCAAGGGGGAGCCGCCGCACAAGGCAGGAGCAAUAGAGAGGAACUAGAAUUGGAAAUGGCAGGAGGGGAGCACUACUCUGGAGCUUUAGCGUUGACUUUUCCUUCCUUUGCUUCUUAGUAGUUUUUGUCUUCUCUCGGAUGUCAGGAACAAUUGAAGCAUUGAAUCAUUUCCUUGUAGCUUUUUCGUUUGAUUUUUCCUUGUGACCUGUAGUGGAUUCCUCCUGCCACAUGAUGGCCGCAGCUCUUGUUUCAAUUUUGUAUGGGUUUUGUUCAUCAAAUAUAAACUAAUUUUCUCAUUCUAGUCAAGGGACAACGGAUGCUCUGAUUCGACUAAAAUUGUGAGAUCGCUUUAAUUUUAUCCUUUUCUUUAUUUAUUGGUAUUCGCAUAUUUCCUGAUUAUAGUACUUAAGAUUGUUUAAUUAAUUGAUUGUCUUGGAUCCGGAUAAUUAGUUAAUUUGAUAAUCUAUUGUCAAUUGGGACGUUAAAUCCGUAAUUGUUUAAUUGUCUCAAAAUAGUGAUAACUGGCAUGAUUGGGUUUGUGUUAGGGGGAUGUGCGGGCCAAUCUGAAAUAACCCUGGUAGUGCGUUAUUUGGUUAGAAUAGGGCUCCUCUAAUUCGUAAGGCAAUUGAGGAAUUAAAUCUUACGGGCGUACCUAAGAUUAUUUUUUAAUUAGAGUAGUGAUUAACGGACGUACCUUAAUCACCGAUACAGUAAGGAGGGGUUAACUGUCAUCGCUUGUUUGGCAGUUAUAACCUAUUUAUUAGUAAAUAAUUGGAAUUGCCUUUGUUUCAAUGAUCAAUUAGGUGAACCAUUGCUGAAGUUAUUUCUUGGCUAGAUCCUUAAUUAUCACUCAUUUGAUUUUAGUAAUUUGUUAUUUAAUUUUUAGUAGUUUCUUAGAUUUUAUUUGAAUUUCUUUGAGUGUCACCUUCUGCACAAAAACAUUCCCCUUUGUCACUGUGAAUUUGAAAAGAAACAAUUACUCCCAGUCCCUGUGGAUUCGACCCUACUCACCGCUAUCUACAGAAAUUACUUUUAGUUUGAGCAGGUUUUAUUAUUGCACAGGUUUCGACACCCUGUCAGUCAUGAAUUAGGAAAAGAGCUUUUUUCCUGAAAUUCAUUUUUUAAUGUUUCUUGAUUUUUGUCUCCUACCAAGAAAAAAAAAAAAAAAAGUAUCUGUCCUUUUGGUUUCUCAUAUUUUUGCAACUUUUGCAGGUAUGUAUCAACAAAUUGUCAUUGGGAUAUAUGUGUGUGUUUGUGUGCGCGUGCACGCAUGUGUAAAUGUAUGUAUGUACAUAUAUGUGCAUAUGUGUAUGUAUGUACAUACAUACAUAUAUACAUACAUAUAUAUGUAUAUAUAUGUGUGUAUGUAUAUAUAUGUAUACAUAUAUACACCACACCACACACCACACCACACACAUGCAUAUAUAUAUAUAUAUAUAUGUGUGUGUGUGUUUAUGUAUAUAUAUGUAUGUAUGUAUGUAUGUACAUACGUACGUUCAUCAAGGAUUUUCAGCCAACUCAUUGCUUUGUGUACUAGCCACAAAGGUAUUCCUAACAACUACCAUUUAAUUGUUGGAUACAUUAAUUAAUCUAAAGGACAAACCUGCAAGGCUGUUGGAUCUCAUUAAUUAAAUAAGAGCCCAGUGUACAUCUUGGUCAUCAUGACCAGUUAAUGGCAAUAAGGUUGUACUCUCUAUCUUGCCGAAGAGUGGCCAAAUCGAAGAGGCGCCUUAAUGUUUAUCACUACAAACUUACAAAAAUUAUUUUGGUUUCUACAGGUAAAUUCUGCAAGCAAUUGAAAAGCAAAAAGUUCAACCGGCAGAAAAUUGUGUGGAUUAUUAAAUCUUAAUGCACAAUAACUUUUGCGACAAUCUUAAGCCUAAUUAAUAACUCGUAAUCCACCAUAAGCCGUGAUGAUUGCUGCGCCCAAUGCGAUAGGGAAAAAAUAAAAAAAAAGAAACUCGUUUUCCAGUCACCUUCGUGCACUUCAAUCCUGUUAACUUUCUCAUUCACAAGAUCUGGGAGUUGGUGUGCUUCAGCGCCAAAGCUAGGAAGAACUCAUCAGCAUCAGACAUCAGCCUGAAUUCAGCCUCCAACUUACCUACUAAUUUACUAGUCAUAGUAGAGAGUUCCUACUAAUUGAUCAAACCGAAAAAAAAAAAAAGAAGAAGAAAAGCCCUACUAAUAACCUUGAACAAUACUAUGUUUUAUGCAACUCAGCCACUUGACUACCUGAUCUAUAGAUGCUUCAUUAAUUGGUUGGCUCCCACAAGUUACAAAUGUGUGGUUCUCUUUUCUUUUAGCUGCAAAAUAUGCGUGUAAUCGUGAAGAUGAACGCAUGUUGCAAUAUCUUCUCAUGCAAAUGAUAUACUGCUGCGUUUAGCCAAUACUGUCACACUUGAUUAUUAGUUAAAUUGGUAAAUGCUCCACUUCUGUCUCCAACGGGGAAUUCAAUGGGAAAUAAUGAUGUGGGGUAUACUUCUUUUUUUAGGGGCGCCGGGUUAUACAUUUUUAUCUAAUCCUUAUCCAUAGAAAGCAGAAAUCAAAAUUGCUCUACAUUUCAAUUGAAGUCCAUGAUAAUUUUUUGGACAAGUUUGAUUUGUUUUGUACAGUUAUAUGUUUAGGACAACAUGCCAAGAAUCGACCAAAAGUAGACUCACAAAACACUAGCGUACGUAGCUUAAAGGACAAUUUCGAUUUUGCAUAGGUAAUGUUUUGAUAGAUUUUCAGCUUGCACUUUAAACUUCUAUUUUAAAGUCUUUUAGUUUUAUGAAUACACUUUUUUUUCUGUAAUCUAUCUGUAAUCAAAAUAUAUAAUGGGCUUUGAGUAUUCCUAAGAAGAAGCGCAAUUCACUUUUGCAAAAGAAGUAAAAUUAAGAAGUGAAAUUGUUAUUUAAAUUUAUAUAUUUGUUGUGCAGGUGCGUACAUUUAUUGUUCCUAUGCAUACAUUGUAGAGUUCAAUUGUAACUAACAUUGUGGAGAUACUACACGCCAAUGUUGUACUUUCUGCUGGUUUAGUUCACCUCUUUGGGGACAUUUAGCAAGAAGUCAAGAUAUGAUAAAUAAGUGUGUGUGAUACAGCAAAAUUUUAUUAAAUUACAUGACGAAAUUGUGAUCUAACUGAAGUUUUGCUCAUGUUCCUUCGUUAGAAAAUCAAUUAACGUGUUUGUUAUCACAAGAUUACUUAUGCAAUUUAGAGAUCCUCUUUUGAUUAAGAAACCAAAAGAGAUAUUUAAAGAGAGGAAACUAGAGAGAUCCUUGAAGUUUGAAGGUUCAUUAUGGUGAACCGAUGCACUUAGCAUUUAUGUCUUCUUCAAGCCAAAACACUGAGAUAGAUAUAAAGCCACACCAAACAUUUAUUGAUCUUUGCCUUCAAAAUUCGUCGAAAUUCACUAAUUAGAUUGAUCUUUUCUACACAGCAUAUAAUUGUAAUUACACAUGCAAUUCGAAAUUCAAGUUACUUGUAUUAAAAGAAUUUUGCUAGUUCAUCUAUGAUGAUACGUAAAUCAAAGAGUGCAUGGGUUAGAAAAGUUAUGGCAUGGUAUCAGUGAAUGUCGCUCGUUUUGUGGAGUUCUAAACCUUGAGGUGGUUCGGAAUUUUAUUGCAGCCAACUUUGAUCCUAAUGGGGGGGGGGGGGGGGGGGGACGGGGAUAAAAUCAGGCUUUUCCAAUAGAACUGGCUCACAGAUUAAAAGGGUGUGAUCCCUUUUCCCUCUUGCAUGUUGCAAUUUGAUUAACUUCCAGUGCGUUUAGGAAAACAUUAGUAUAAAGGAGUGAAAGAGUGCCUGAAAUUUGCAAUGGCGAAAGUGUAUGGACAUUAUUUGUGCAGACAUUUGAGAGAGAAUGCUGAGCUGAUAAUCCUUGAUGGAGCAGGGCAUUCAUGGGGUUAUGAAAAAAUCUAAGGAGUUAUAUAAGCACCUAAAAACCUUUCUCAUAGGCUGAAUCAACCAACCGACUUUAGGCACUUCAAUCCUUCCUCUUCAACUCACAGAAGAAAAUUUGUCGUUCAACUCAAUUUUCGAGGCUAAAAAUGUAGAGGAAAGCCUCUAAUCAAUUGAAUUUAUAGGUACACUUUGUUUCCCAGAAUAAAUAACUGACAAUGAUGGUUAAUAAUUCUUUCAACAAUGUUCCAUUCAUGAUGUAUCUUUACUCAAGCUAUUGUAGAUCAUACAAAUUCCACUUGUGGAAGGAAGACGGGAAAAUUAAACCAUGUUCAUGGCUGGCCACUAAAUCCUUUGUUAAUGACUUCUAAUCAACUACUACUAUUUCAAAGAUACCAUAAGACCACUAAAAAUUCAGCUAAACACAUACCAUUCUGGGUAAACGAUGUCAUGGCCCUCAAAUGACCUAAUCAGCCUAACUUCAAGGGUGCCUAUUAUGAAAAGGACCAUAUGCCCAAAUUGUUUCACAUCCUAAAUUAUCUAAGUAAAAGUAUAUUGAGACAAGAAAAAAAGAAAAAAAAAAGAAUAGAUAAACUAUGCUCCCUUUCUUUUCAAAAUAUUCAAUCGGUAAGCACUAAUCAAACUGAAUAGUCUCAAAAGCAUAACUCAAUCAUAUAAUGAUCACAGAGAAUAGCGAAAAAAGAAAGGGAGAAGAAGCGGUGGUCUAGUACUCUGGUCGCAGACUCAAAUUUUGGUUUUUGGAGAAGGGUCGGUAGUAGUGGUUUUCGACAGAGAAUGAUAGAGACUGAAGUUUGAGAGUCUGAGAGUGUGGACUUAGGGUUUAGUUCUUUUAGGAAUUUUAUUUUUAAAAUUUUUAACGGGAUCAAAUUGACUGCAAUGCCCAAGAAACUAGCUGUACUACAAAAGUUAAGGGUAGAAAUUUCUCAAUAAGUUCUGAACACUUAUGUGUUUUAAGUCAUAUAAAUUUAAUUAUUUAAUAUUUACACCAGCGCUCGAUAGCACACUAUAUUCCUACUUGCACUCGACUCAUUAAAACAAUCGAACAUGUUUGAAAUUGAUUCAAACAUGAUCAAAGUCAAAACAAGACGAUCCAUUGAUCAAGCAGCUCCAUAUGUGCACCCGAGUUGCUUGAUUCGCAUACAUUCCUAUCGCAAAAUCAUAGUAAUUGAACCUUCAACAUCGAGUAUAGGAUUGGCCUUUGUUAUUCACCUAAUGCUUAAGUACAUAGCCUGACAGAGCCGGCAUUCUUCCAAUCACCUUGAUGAACAUCAAUGCCAUGGACUUUCUCGGAACCCAGAUUUGGAAGUUGGUGUGCUUUACAACCAAAGCUAUUGAAGAACUCAUCAGGAUCAGACUUGGAUCUUUAUCUCAGCCUCCAACUUUUCUGCUGUAUUAGCCAUAGUUUUUUCUAGCUCUACUAGUAAAAAAGCUACUGAUUUUCAGCUCACCUUCACCUAGUAGAAUGCAAAUGCUAACGUAUAUGUACCUUAACCAUCGGACCACCGCUUAUAUAGGAUCAGUUCCAUUUUUCCGUACAUUUGUGAUGGUUUGUACUAAUAUCUUUGCUUUUUAUCAAUUGUGUUUUAGGUUUAUGUAGUUAUACCGCUCAUACCUAUGCUUAAAUUUCAAUAUACUAAUUGGGCUUAAGUAGCAAAGUUUUGAAAUUUAAUUUAAAAAGAAAAAAAAAAAAAAAAAGAAAACCUGGCUACAUUAUUUUUGGAUUAGGUCAGGAAAUUUGCCUUGCUAUUCUUCUUCAUCAUAGUCAAGACAAAAUUUCUGUUGUUAGACUAUUACCAAGAUUAGGUUAAUUAUCUAUGUCCUUUGAUGUGAGGCAACAUGUCCCAGAUUAAAAUUAAGGGGCAGAUAAAAUGUCAUAUUAAUCCAAGAAAACCCAACUGCAACCAGAACUAGAUUUCAUGCCAUCACCUAAGACGAGUGGGUUAGAAAGAUUUGUUUGCUUGAUAUGUGAUAAUACAGGCUUCGUUAAUAAGUUAUUAAUGCGAAUAUGCAAAACAAAUGGUUACAUUAUAGAUUCCUGUGCUUUGUGUUAAAGCUUUUUUUUUUUUUUUGGCAACAAAUUUUUGGACUGCACGGAUCAUUCCUUGCUGCUUUUAGAUUUCAAAACAGAAGCUACAAAGUACAGAACAUUUUCAGUUUUAGAAAUGCACCUCGGUUUUUCAAAAGGUGCAUUGACUACUGUAAAGAAUAGUUUCAGCUCCAUGAGAUCGAUGCCAGUAAGAUAGUUAAAUCAGCAGUGAUAAAUGUUAUGCAAUGAACCACUGUUAUAUAUAGGAAGCAUGCUGCGAUAAUGAUACCCCAUGAGGAAAAACAGAAACCCUAAUAAUCAUAGCGAUGAUAGUAACACUAAACCUAGAGUUAUGAACUAGUUCUUCGAGUUAAUUAAGAAUUUCUUGGUCACAUCUUUGUAGUCAAGUCAUCCAAACAAAAUUGUAUUCCCUCGUUUAUCCCAAUUGUACCAAGAGACCAUUAUUUGGCGAAAAAGACAACAGAGAAAACAUGUCAGACAUAAUCAUAUAAUCAGUGCUCCCAUAGCCAAAAUGCGCAGGAUUAGAUGUAGUUGGGUAUUAAUGGAGCAAAUUUCUUGACGUCUUCACUUGAGGAGAAGACGACAAACUGAAUUUAACUCAAAAAAUAAUAAUAAAAUUGCGUUUAAAGGAGCUGCAAUGAAUUUAGUUAGGAAUAUGGAAUUAACCUAUCUGGAGAAAGAUGGACAACAUUAAGCAAACAACAUGCGUUUGAAAAAGACUAGCAUUGAUGAAAGGGUUAAAUGCAAAAUACCCCCCACAAACUAUAUACCUAGUUGCAGUUUACCCCCUAAACUAUAAUAAUAGACAUUUUGCCUCCUUGAAUGAUAUGUUUGGACAAAUCUACCCCUUUUAUUUUAAGCAUUGUUAUUUUUCUUUUUUCCCUAUCAUUUUCUUUUUAAAUUCUUCCUUUUUUUUCUUUAAACAUUGUUUAAAUAAGUAGACUAGAUUAGUCAAAAUUUGUUUAUUUCUUAAUUUCAUAUGUCAAUAUUUUAUAAAAAAAAAAUCUAUGGAAUACAAGAUUUUUUUUCCAAAUGUUGAAGUCAAUGUCAUUUAUGAAAUUGAACUUUUCAAAUAUAUAAUAACAAAAUAGAGAAAUUGAUUAAUCAAUUAUUAGUAGUAUCAAUAACCAAAAAAAUGAACUACUAUUGUUGUUUAUUCUUAUUUUUUAUUUCACUACAAAUAACAAUUGCUAACUUUUCUUUUUUAUGUGAUAUAUAAUAUGUUACUUUUAUUAUAAGUAGUUGAGUAACUGUGAACUCUUAAUUAGUUUAUUGGCACUUAAAUUGUUGAAUUACUAGAUUAAUACACUUUACAAUAUAAGCUACAUAUAUUUUGUAAUAACAAAGAGUUUAUGACAAAUUAUUAAGAAUGAAUUUAACAAAUAAACAAAUUAAAAAAGCAGUUUAAAAAAUAUUAAAAUUUUUUAUGUAAGUCUUUUCACAUCGGAGAGAGGCAUUGGCUAGUUUCACGAAAGAAGGAGAAACAAAAAAAAAAUGAAAAAAUGAAAAAAGCUAAUAGAGAAAAAAAGAAAGAAAGGAUUUAAGAUAGUAGGGGUAAUAUUGUCCAAACAUAUCAUUUAAGGGGGAAAAAUGACUAUUAUUAUAAUUUAUGGGGUAAACUGCAACUGGGUAUAUAGUUUAUGGGGAGUUUUUUGCAUUUAACCCUUGAUGAAAAGACUAAUAAAGUCAACAGUAUGCCCACACAAAAUUCAAUUUCCAAGUCACCAUUCCAACCACUUCUUUGACUAAUCCUAAACUUGGAGGUUGAGCUCCAUAAAAAAGUUUAUUCAAAGGCAAAACGAUUUGGGAAUUGCAAUGGGAAGCAAGUCGUUAAAUGAAGUAAUCAAACAUCACUUAGUAAAGGCUUACUAAACUAGUUAAUAAAGAUGUUGUUGGGCUGCUGUAUUCACCAUGAAUUGAUUUAAAGAUGAAAGUUCAGGAUCUUUAACAUGGAAUAUGGUGAUUUUUCUCCAAUUCUUCCUGGCUUUCUCUUUCUCUUUUAUUCAGGUCUCCCCGGCAGGAAAACAGAUACACAUAUAUAUAUACACACACAAAAAGAGAGAGAAAACAUACGAGAUCCUUACAAAAUUUGAAGGUUCAUUAUCGUGAACCAGUGCACUAAGCAUUUAUAUCUUCAUCAAGCCAAAAAAAAAAAAAGAAAGUUAAGAUAGAUAUAAAGCCACACGAAACAUUCAUUUUGUUUUUCAUCAUUACACGUAGAAUCGUUAACACAUACAAAUUACAACCAAGCACUAACAGCAGUAGAAUUGCUAACACUUAUACAAAUUACAACCAAUCACUAGCAGGAGUAGAAUUGCUAACACUUAUACAAACACUUGUACAAAUUACAACCAAUCACUAGCAGGAGUAGAAUUGCUAACACUUAUACAAAUUACAACCAAGCACUAACAGGAGUAGAAUUGCUAACACUUAUACAAAUUACAACCAAUCACUAGCAGGAGUAGAAUUGCUAACACUUAUACAAACACUUAUACAAAUUACAACCAAUCACUAGCAGGAGUAGA
This 12772-nucleotide long non-coding RNA is filed under the name Coffea arabica (coffee). Its description in RNAcentral is "long non-coding RNA (CARA_LNC007938)". The record is from RNAcentral. Lineage: Eukaryota; Viridiplantae; Streptophyta; Magnoliopsida; Gentianales; Rubiaceae.